UACGUAGGGUGCAAGCGUUGUCCGGAAUCAUUGGGCGUAAAGCGCACGUAGGCGGCUUGCCAAGUCGGACGUGAAAUCCCUCAGCUCAACUGAGGACGUGCAUCCGAAACUGGCGAGCUUGAGUACUGAAGAGGAUCGCGGAAUUCCCGGUGUAGAGGUGAAAUUCGUAGAUAUCGGGAGGAACACCAGUGGCGAAGGCGGCGAUCUGGGCAGAUACUGACGCUGAGGUGCGAAAGCGUGGGGAGCAAACAGG
Molecule: ribosomal RNA, 253 nt
Filed under: uncultured bacterium
Lineage: Bacteria
Description: partial 16S ribosomal RNA
Rfam family: Bacterial small subunit ribosomal RNA
Source: RNAcentral